Long non-coding RNA from Cucumis sativus (cucumber), 1960 nucleotides. RefSeq lists it as uncharacterized. The transcript has 2 exons. The record is from RefSeq and is a predicted model, not a curated record. NCBI's taxonomy places the organism in Eukaryota, Viridiplantae, Streptophyta, Magnoliopsida, Cucurbitales, Cucurbitaceae.
AAACAAUUUCCUUUUUCUUCUUCACCCGCGCGCGAUCCCCCUUUUCUUCUUCAUCUUCUCCUUUUUCUCUCCCUACCCAGCCGCCGCACAUCUCCCCUCUCCUUUUCGCUCGUCCGCCAACCACCAUCACUGCCCAAAUCUCCUCAUCCCGUCGUCGCCGCUGCACUAUUCGCCUGAAGUCGUCGUCCGUCCAGGUUACAAAGCCGCCGCGUACUGUUUCUGUUCGUGCUGCAUCCCACUGCAUCCUUCAGCCGCCGACCAUCUCCCCUCUCCCUUCUCCUUCAUUUUUUUGGCGCCGCUGUUACCCACACCCCCAACUACUCGUCGCGGUUCGUCUGUGCCUCCUUGCUGUCCAGAUCUGCAACCGCUCGAGCCACUUCGUCACACUGUCCGUCAUCUUCUGCUAGUCGCACUGCUCAGAAAUCUGCAUUGCUCAGCUUGCACAAGUCUUCUGCCCCACGUUUUGUGCCGCCGUGACGUCCGCAACCGUUCCACACCACCACGACUUUCCAUAUUCCAAUUUAGGGUUUUGUUCUGCUUUCGUCAACCAUUUGCACCGUCGCGUCUGUUCGUCGGCCGACAGUUCGAUCGCCGCUGCCGCUGUUUUGUUAUGUUGGAAGUGACAUUCCCUCGUGUUCAUAACCAAAAUUGUGAAUUUUGGAGUUCGGCUCGCCAAUAAUUGGUAUGAACUCGCCAAUACUUGGUAUCUUUCAUUGGAUAUAGUUUGUUCGAGAAAUUGAGAAACCUUGAGGUAAGAGAUUUUCUACCGGACUCAAUAAUAUAAUAAAAAUUAAGAUGUAUUGAUGGUAUGGACCGUAAUAUUAUAUCUUUUAGGGAUGACGCUCAUGAUGUAUGUUUGGAUGUGGACCUAAUGUUUAAUGUUUGCUGUGUUUGACGGUGAGAAAUUUAUAUAUAUGUGCAUGGAUUGAUGUGGACUUGUGGUUGAGUGUAUGUUGUGACUCAUAAGGACGUGGAAACGACUGAAUCUCGUAGAUGUUGCUAUAUAAAGUGUUAAUUAGUAGAUUGAUUGUUGUUUAGACUGAAUGUAUGAUCUACUCAUGUUAUGGUUGUGUGCUUGUUAACGGAAGAGACGUCAUGGUCGUGCCCUUGUAGACUGAGGAGGAGGUUAUGAUUAUUUAGUUUGUUAACUGAUGUAUUGAUGAUAUGUUUUUGACUGACUUUGGGCUAAACUAGAGUAAGACGAUUGUUUGGGGUUAAAUGAGGAGUUUAUGUGAUGAGACUGUUUCUGUGAACGAAGUUAAGAGUUUAUUUUGCCCUUAACGGGGCCCUUAACGGGACCCGUAGUUGGUCUCCUACUCAGUAUAUUUAUACUCACCCUUUUAUGUUUAACUUUUUCAGGCAAAGGUUGAGGGUGACAAACUGACGAAGGGCCGGUGAUUGCCAUAGGGAAUAUGUUAUUUUUGCUUCCGCUUUAUGUUUUUUAUCUUUAAAACAUUGUGAUGGAACUAAGCUUACGAACUAUUAUUUUGGUAAAAAGUACUUUUAAAGUUUUAAAAUAUUUGAAAUCGGGUCCGACUUAAAUUUGUUUUUCCUCGAUUGUAUAUUUUCAAAAGUCUUAUAUUUCAUUUUGUAUCAAUCAAGGUCUUUUGUCAAAAAUUAAUGACUUCGACUUAGUUAGAAAAGUUGGGUCGUUACAAGACGAAAAUGCGGUGGAGAAGACGCGCGAACGAAGAUGAGGCACAAUGAUCGCAACAGUGGCUGCUUGAUCGUGAGGGGUGCACAAAAAGGAGGUGGUCGGAGAUGGUGGACGUUGGCAUAAACAUUGAAGAAACGGAGAUGAUUGGCGAUCAGACAAGAUUGUGAUGGGCGAUGACUCUAGGAUUUUUUUGGAGGAAGAGGAUGAUGAGUAGUGUUGUUCACACAUAUUGAGGAGUAUAUAUUCAUAUUAUUAUUAUUAUUUUCUUUUCCAAAAUAACAAAAAUCUCUCUUCAUUCAAUUU